UCGGGAAUUUUGGGCAAUGGGCGAAAGCCUGACCCAGCAACGCCGCGUGAGGGAUGAAGUAUUUCGGUAUGUAAACCUCGAAAGAAUGGGAAGAAUAAAUGACGGUACUAUUUAUAAGCUCCGGCUAACUACGUGCCAGCAGCCGCGGUAAUACGUAGGGAGCAAGCGCUGUUCGGCUUUACUGGGCGUAAAGGGCGCGUAGGCGGCGCGGUAAGUCACUUGUGAAAUCUCUGAGCUUAACUCAGAACGGCCAAGUGAUACUGCUGUGCUAGAGUGCGGAAGAGGCAACCGGAAUUCUUGGUGUAGCUGUGAAAUGCGUAGAUAUCAAGAGGAACACCUGAGGCGAAGGCGGGUUGCUGGGCCGACACUGACGCUGAUGCGCGAAAGCCAGGGGAGCAAACG
This 402-nucleotide ribosomal RNA is filed under the name uncultured bacterium. Its description in RNAcentral is "bacterial SSU rRNA". It matches the Rfam family "Bacterial small subunit ribosomal RNA", at positions 355 to 774 of the family's 1533-position model. The record is from RNAcentral.